CAAAGAAAUGAGAUUAACUCUUUAAAUAAUGUGUUAAAUUUACAUAUAUUUUAAAAUAUUAUUAAAGGAGGUUUGACAGUGUUGACAUUUAAAAAGUCAACAUUUGGAUUAAAUUUAGCUGGUAGUAUUAAUUUGGGUUUUAGUUAAGAGUCUGAGGACAUCAAGAAAACUGUUUACCACUUUGGUUUUAGCAGCUCAGUUUUACUAUUCCAUAAUGUGUUAUUUUUAAAGUUCUCUUUUUAAGAUCACAGUGAUAUCCUGUUUAAAUUUUUAAAAUAUGUUCAAAAUAUCUGGAGGGUGAGAAGUUACCAAGUUUGUAUGUUUCGCUUGACUCACCAUCUUUAUUUUCUGUAUGUAUAUGUAGUAACUGGCAAUUGUGUAUAUUUUCUUGAUUAACAUAUUAGAGACUGCUUCCAUCAUCUUAUGUAAACCUGGAAACAGCUGAAACUAGUCUUUUCUGAAGAACUGUAUAUCAGUAUUAUUAGAUGUGCAUCCCAUUUUGUCAUUGCCUCAGACUUUGAAUAUGGUCAUUACUCUCUGGAAGAGAAGUAUAAUUAUUUUUUUUUGUUGUUAUAUGCAGUAUGGUUUAAUUUAAGAUCUAGUAAUAAUACACAUAUGUAAACUCAUUAAAGUAUCACCAGUAAUUAGUAAAUUCCAAAUUCAAGUCAGUACAGUUCUGUCUUUGUAAAUUCUGUCUUUCAAAAAGUUAUUUGUGUUUUUAAAAGUUGAUGUCCAAAGGAAAGGAGCUUCUUAUCUUUUAAGUACUUUUGGUGUGUGUUAAAUAUUUAUUUGCUAUGAUAUUCUAGAAGAAAAUAUCAAACAUGUUAAAUAUAAGAACAUGUUAAAAUUUAAAUUUGUUAUUUCAAAAGUUACUGAAGAUGUCUUGGAAUAACAGUUGUUAUGCUGUUAAACUAUAUAGUUGCAUACACUUUAUUAAAAGCACUAUGGAGAAAAAUUUUAACAAUG
Long non-coding RNA from Rhinopithecus roxellana (golden snub-nosed monkey), 966 nucleotides. RefSeq lists it as uncharacterized. NCBI's taxonomy places the organism in Eukaryota, Metazoa, Chordata, Mammalia, Primates, Cercopithecidae. The transcript is spliced from 2 exons. The record is from RefSeq and is a predicted model, not a curated record.